UAAACGAUGGGCGCUAGGGUGUAGGGGGUUUUUAAUCCCCUCCGUGCCGCAGCUAACGCAUUAAGCGCCCCGCCUGGGGAGUACGGCCGCAAAGGUUAAAACUCAAAGGAAUUGAAGGGGGGCCCGCACAAGCGGUGGAGCAUGUGGUUUUAAUUCGACGCAACGCGAAGAACCUUACCUGGGCUUGACAUGUGGGGAAUCUCACGGAAACGUGGGAGUGCGUAGCAAUACGAGCCCCAGCACAGGUGCUGCAUGGCUGUCGUCAGCUCGUGUCGUGAGAUGUUGGGUUAAGUCCCGCAACGAGCGCAACCCUUGUCUCUAGUUGCCACCAUUCAGUUGGGCACUCUAGAGAGACUGCCGGUGAUAAACCGGAGGAAGGUGGGGAUGACGUCAAGUCCUCAUGGCCUUUAUGUCCAGGGCUACACACGUGCUACAAUGGUCGAUACAAAGGGUUGCAAACCCGCGAGGGGGAGCCAAUCCCAGAAAGUUGGCCUCAGUUCGGAUUGGAGUCUGCAACUCGACUCCAUGAAGUUGGAAUCGCUAGUAAUCGUGGAUCAGCAUGCCACGGUGAAUACGUUCCCGGGCCUUGUACACACCGCCCGUCACACCACGAAAGCCGGUUGUACCAGAAGUCGCUGGCCUAACCCGCAAGGGACGGAGGCGCCCAAGGUAUGUUCGGUGAUUGGGGUGAAGUCGUAACAAGGUAGCCG
Molecule: ribosomal RNA, 710 nt
Filed under: uncultured bacterium
Lineage: Bacteria
Description: bacterial SSU rRNA
Rfam family: Bacterial small subunit ribosomal RNA
Source: RNAcentral